GAACCCUCAAGCUCUGCUUGGUGUUGGGUGUUUGUCCCGCUAUUGCGCGUGGACUCGCCUUAAAGUAAUUGGCAGCCAUGUAAUCCGGCUUUGAGCGCAGCACAUUGCGUACUCUCUACUGGUACAUAGGCAUCCAAAAGCCUUAUUUUUUAC
RNAcentral lists this unclassified non-coding RNA (153 nucleotides) under uncultured Dothideomycetes. Its description in RNAcentral is "sequence contains ITS2". Lineage: Eukaryota; Fungi; Ascomycota; Dothideomycetes. The record is from RNAcentral.